RNAcentral lists this unclassified non-coding RNA (987 nucleotides) under Leishmania donovani. RNAcentral's name for it is "gene:LdHU3.33.2460(CDS-product:hypothetical_prote in_conserved)". Lineage: Eukaryota; Euglenozoa; Kinetoplastea; Trypanosomatida; Trypanosomatidae. The record is from RNAcentral.
ACACACCAACACGGAAGCGUGUGCGCACGCACGUGCAUGCAACUCAAUCGCACAGUGCCCCCACUCACUCUAUCAAUGUCUCUUUGGGCUUCCCAUUAUCUGUAGCCUCGAUGAGGGAACGCGAGAGGCGCGCACCUCUGUUACGGUCAACCGUUUUGUGUUUUUGUGCUCGGAUUGCAUCAGCAUACGUGUUGUUGCGAGCUUAGGUGUCUAUGCGUGUUUCUCAGUCGGCGUAAUUCAAGCCGUAGCAUAUGCACGCAACUUCCCCUCAUUCCUCGCUCACCUCUGCGGUUUCUCCGCGAGGUCGACGAGCAGAGUCACGCUUUCCGGGUGUCUCAUCACCGACGCACUCAUACUCCCACCGCUGCUUCAUCAUAGCCAUCUCCUACACUGUGAGCACAAAUCCGUUUCUCGUGCUCUGCGUUCUGCAAGAGAUGAUGCUCUGUUUUUCUUUUUCACGUUGGCCUUGACGGCAUGUAGCGAAGGUGGCAUCGCUGAACCACAGACACGCACGCACACACAUGCGCUGCUCGACGCAGACGAGGGCGAGCGUUCCCGGGGCGGAGCAAGUGCGCGCUCGUGCUGAAAAAAAAAAGGAGUGAGUGGUGGCUGGCCGCGUUUGGCCCAACAUUGUGUAUAUGUUUUCUUCGCCUCUGUCGCUGGCAUGCCCUCAUUUCCUUCGGGCGUUUUUUCGUCUUUCUGAUGGACAGCUCGGAUGGCAGCGUUCUUCUUCGCAGCAUCGAUGCUUUGUAUCUCGGCCCUUUCUCAUGAACGCAUGCGGAGCCCUUCUGCAGGCUUGGCUGCGCUCCUGGCAGACUGAUUCGGCCACCCACGCGACUGUGCAUCAUGCUGCAACAUGCCUUUGUGGCAAUACCGCACUCCUCUCUCCCGACCUUCCCCUCCUUUUUCGACACACACGCACGCAUCCAUGUGUCGGUAUGCUUCAAACUUGUGUGCUUCCUCGGCGGACGUGCUGCUCCGGCGCAG